ACGACCAUAGGGUGUGGAAAACAGGGCUUCCCGUCCGCUCAGCCGUACUUAAGCCACACGCCGGCCGGUUAGUAGUUGGGUGGGUGACCACCAGCGAAUCCCGGCUGUUGUAUGUC
This 116-nucleotide ribosomal RNA is filed under the name Aspergillus udagawae. RNAcentral also lists the same sequence under 1 other name. The record is from RNAcentral. Lineage: Eukaryota; Fungi; Ascomycota; Eurotiomycetes; Eurotiales; Aspergillaceae.